UACGAAGGGGGCUAGCGUUGCUCGGAAUCACUGGGCGUAAAGCGCACGUAGGCGGACUCUUAAGUCAGGGGUGAAAUCCUGGAGCUCAACUCCAGAACUGCCUUUGAUACUGAAGAUCUUGAGUUCGGGAGAGGUGAGUGGAACUGCGAGUGUAGAGGUGAAAUUCGUAGAUAUUCGCAAGAACACCAGUGGCGAAAGGCG
This 201-nucleotide ribosomal RNA is filed under the name uncultured bacterium. RNAcentral's name for it is "partial 16S ribosomal RNA". It matches the Rfam family "Bacterial small subunit ribosomal RNA", at positions 524 to 723 of the family's 1533-position model. The record is from RNAcentral.